RNAcentral lists this ribosomal RNA (1137 nucleotides) under Triticum aestivum (bread wheat). RNAcentral describes it as "partial small subunit ribosomal RNA". The record is from RNAcentral. Lineage: Eukaryota; Viridiplantae; Streptophyta; Magnoliopsida; Poales; Poaceae.
AUGGGCUCCCUCGGCGACCACGUCCCCCCCUACGGCGUCUAUCUCGACCCGGCGCGCGUCUUCUCGCUCGUCAUCAACCGCCGGCCGCGGGACCUCUUCAACUACGUGCACUCCAUCCCCGGAGCGCCCGCGGACCUGCGAUGCCGCCUCGUCGGCUUCGCCGUGAGGGCUCUCGAGGCGCCGCGGCUGGGAAACUGGUGGCCCGACGAGAGCUCGUGGACCCUGUAUUGGGCGAUGUACGCGUGGGCUCACGCAGACGCAAUGCUUAACAGAUUUGUUACUGGUGGAAUGAACGUGCCCAGAAAUGCUGCAAUGCUUAAUCAAUUGUAUGCUUCUAGCUCAAGCACUCCUACUGCAACGCUUUCUCCACAACAGGAAGAUGUGAUCAAUUUUCUGAUCUCACGUGCCAGACCGCUUAAUCGAACAUCUGCUUUUCACUGGGCAACUCAUACUUCAGAUUUUGCUCAACGGGGGACUGAUUCUACUCUUGCACUGGCAUUUGCGAACCUAUCCCUGGGCCAACCGGGAUCCCAGCAAAUGGCUCCACAGGAGCUGAUGCAGAACAACUAUGGUACACCUGCAAUGAGAGCACCAUCUCUGCACCAACCUGGACCAGCGCAACUCACUCCACAGGGGCUGAUGCAGAACAGAGAAGUGCUGCCCGCAGUAGAUAUCAAAGGAAAGGGACCUGCAUUAGGAGUAGGCCAGCAAGAACUGCGGGUCCAUGUCGCUUGUUUGAUGGCAGGUGACGGCACUACAGGUGCUGCAGGGUUGUUAAUCAAGAGGGAAACGUGGCAGUUCAUCUGCGCGUUAUGUUUUCCGAUGCGGAGCACGGAGGAGACGGUUCUUUUUGCAGCUGCUUGUUGUGAAGGGAUCAAAGUUGCUCUGGCCUAUCAACCUACUAGCAUUGUGCUGGAGUCCCAUCUAUUCCGUCUGGUCGACCUGCUACUUGGCGGCGCUCAUGCUCCCUGCCGAGAUAUGGAAGAGUUGACGACAUUACUGCAUCUCUCACGUUGCAGAGUGCAGCACAUCACGGAAGAUUCCAAUGGUGCUGCUCGUCGACUGGCCAUGCAUUGUUUGCUGUCAGAGGAGGCCGAGAUAUACUUCAGUGCUCCUGAUUGGCUUGUCCUUACUUAG